Leopardus geoffroyi (Geoffroy's cat) is the source of this 237-nucleotide long non-coding RNA. RefSeq lists it as uncharacterized. The record is from RefSeq and is a predicted model, not a curated record. The transcript has 3 exons. Lineage: Eukaryota; Metazoa; Chordata; Mammalia; Carnivora; Felidae.
CUGGAUGUUCUUGGGGUGAAUGCCCUGCACGGUCUGCAGGCACUGGCAGCGCAGCUCGGUGACGACGGGCGCCGCUGCGGGGAGAGCAGGCCGGUGAGACCCUCAAAUACUGGUGCAAAACAAUGGGUCACCAAUACCAAUGUGCUGUCGUUACCACUAUACUGCUAACUGUGCUAACUGUAUUGCUGUCAUUUGCACCUGGAGAACAGGAAGAAUGGAAAGAAGGAAGGAAGGGAG